Molecule: long non-coding RNA, 2331 nt
Organism: Dermochelys coriacea (leatherback sea turtle)
Lineage: Eukaryota; Metazoa; Chordata; Testudines; Dermochelyidae
Exons: 3
Source: RefSeq, a predicted model, not a curated record
UGCACUGGUACAGGCUGGGGACCGACUGGCUGAAAAGGACCUGGGGAUUACAGUAAUUACCUAUCUCACAGAAGUGUUGUGAAGCUAGGUAAAGACUGUGAGGUGCUCAGCAAUUAUGGUAAUGAAAGGAGGCACAGAAGUACUUGAGAGAGGUGACAAAAUACCCAACCAUUCACUGAUUUAAAUGAAGUAGUGUCUACACAGUGCCAGAGAAUACACCAGCAAUAGUGACUGACUAUAAUCUACACAUUAAUUAAUGCAUGACAGCUGGGGUCACAGAGGCAUGGAAGAGGUUGUGUGCAUGGAAUCAAAGGCUGAAUUUGGAAGCGAGGUGAGCAGGCAACCUUCGUUAGAAAACCAGUAAUCUAAGAUCUGCUCCGAUGAAGUGAGCUGUAGCUCACGAAAGCUUAUGCUCUAAUAAAUUUGUUAGUCUCUAAGGUGCCACAAGUACUCCUUUUCUUUCUAAGAUCUGCUAUUGUCGACACUGUAAUCCGUAUGUUUAGUAAUAGAAUGAAAUUACAUUAGAAAUGGGUUUUAGGUACUAGGAAUAUCCCUUAUACUGUGUCACAAAAAUAGGGAGUGAAGAGGCUUGAAUCCUGUCUGCACUAGGAUUGGGUGAAAACCUGGGUGCUCUGCAGUUGAGUAUUUUUAUACAGAAUCUGAAUCUUUAAUUCAAAAUGAUUUACUACUGUAAACACACUUUCUAAAUGCUUUUCCUAAGCCAGUGUAGAGUGGCUCUUGAUCUAACAUUGCAGGGAAUGUUUGUUUCCCUUCCAGCAGUCAGUCAGUCAUGUCAGAGCAGAUCCUUGUCCUCUCCAUUUACAGUAAGAGCCAAGUCAGGGGACAGGAGUGCACUAGUAGGGUUUGUGUGGGUUAGUAUUUUGGACAACCCAACUGUAGAUUGGCCCUUAGUUCUCAAUGGUUUGGAAGGUUCAGAGGUUUCUGCACCCCUACUUGUAAGACUGCUGUUCAGUGCAUAAUCCUGGCAUGUAUCUCUUUGAACUUCAUUGUUAUAAUACUAGUUUCAAUCUCGUUUGAAAGUCUUUGAGUUUUAACCUUUUGUUGUUUAAGUUGCAUACUGUACUCUCAGCACUUACAGAAAUUGACCAGAAACUAGAUUGACCUGAAACCAAAGGGCUUUGUUGUUGACUUCAUUGGCACUAUACCAAUUUACACCAGCUGAGUUUUGCUGUGAGGUGGUUCGCUGGGGAAGGAACACGUCAGUUCCCUGCUACUGCUCUUUUUAAUCAGCAGUUUAGCUAGAGCUAUUUUAAAGUUCAAAGGAACUCCUUUUGAUAUCUUUGCCCUCUCUCUUUUUUGUUGUUCCUGUCAGACAUCAUUUGCUUCUGAGUUCUUUCUUGUUAGGAGUCAUUCAGUAAGAGAAUCCUUUGUAUCCCCUUCCUUCAAUAGAGUACAUAUUAAGGGCAAACUACUGCUACAAAGGCAAACAAGAAUGUUUGCCAGUAAAAUAGUUCGGGAACAGAAGAGGUGAGAUGGACUAUAAUGCUAUAGCAUGGAGCUCCUAGAUUUUCUUAUGGAAUGCAGACAAUUCAGUUUUGCAGAAGAAAAUUGGAACUUCCGGGCAAAGAUGUUGCCCCAAACUGAAUCUGGGAUAGUUUGAUGGUAAAAGAAAGGGGGGAGACAUCGACAAAGUGGCAGGUACCGUGGCCUAUCAAGGUAAUCUGGCAACGAAGGUCGUGCACAGCUUUGAUGUUUUCUCAUGCCUGUAACUGUUGAAACAACAGUUCAGCUAUGAAGGAGAUGCUGCCCUUUCAACAAGGCUGUUUUCUCUGUUCCUGUCUACGCUGCUGCAGCAUGCUCUAGUGUGGGAAGAGGGUGAAGAAACUUCUAAGCUAGAGCCGUUAGCCAAGAUUUCCAAAGGUCACUAGUGAUUUAGGUGCGUAACAUGCUAGUAAUUAUACAUAUGGAGUCUUUUGGCCUAGCUGUGUGCUUUUGGGUUAGUUUGCUCCGAAAUGUCCGUAAGAUAGCAGAAGGAGAAGCUGCUAUUCCGCAUUCCACGUUUUAUUACACACACGGCUAGCGAAUGCAUUCUCGCUGCAAGGUCCUGGCCGCCCUUUGUUCUGCAGCAAUAUGCUGUCUGUUUCACAAAGCUCUGAGAUGUGCCACUGGGUGGAGCUGAAUAACCACUUUGCUGUCCGAGCAGGAGCAAUAGCUUCAAAUGAUUUAUUUUUUAACAUGGUUUUAACCAUGUCACCCUCCUAUGGGCUUGCUAAGAAAACUUUGUUUAAACAAAUGUAUUAUAAGCAGGGACUAGAGGCUGUCAAAAUGGAUUAUUUUGGGUAAAUAUUUUAAUAAUUAAAAACAGGAAUU